GACGAACGCUGACGGCGUGCUUAACACAUGCGAGUCGAACGGAAAGGCCCUGCUUUUGUGGGGUGCUCGAGUGGCGAACGGGUGAGUAACACGUGAGUAACCUGCCCUUGACUUUGGGAUAACUUCAGGAAACUGGGGCUAAUACCGGAUAGGAGCUCCUGCUGCAUGGUGGGGGUUGGAAAGUUUCGGCGGUUGGGGAUGGACUCGCGGCUUAUCAGCUUGUUGGUGGGGUAGUGGCUUACCAAGGCUUUGACGGGUAGCCGGCCUGAGAGGGUGACCGGCCACAUUGGGACUGAGAUACGGCCCAGACUCCUACGGGAGGCAGCAGUGGGGAAUAUUGCACAAUGGGCGGAAGCCUGAUGCAGCAACGCCGCGUGCGGGAUGUCGGCCUUCGGGUUGUAAACCGCUUUCGCCUGUGACGAAGCGUGAGUGACGGUAAUGGGUAAAGAAGCACCGGCUAACUACGUG
Molecule: ribosomal RNA, 468 nt
Filed under: uncultured bacterium
Lineage: Bacteria
Description: partial 16S ribosomal RNA
Rfam family: Bacterial small subunit ribosomal RNA
Source: RNAcentral